Molecule: ribosomal RNA, 465 nt
Filed under: uncultured bacterium
Lineage: Bacteria
Description: partial 16S ribosomal RNA
Rfam family: Bacterial small subunit ribosomal RNA
Source: RNAcentral
CCUACGGGAGGCAGCAGUGGGGAAUAUUCCGCAAUGGGCGAACGCCUGAUGCAGCGACGCCGCGUGAGGGAUGAAGGUCUUCGGCUCGUAAACCUCUGUCAGCAGGGAAGAAAGGUCACUGUGCUAAUUAGCCGUGAAUUGACGGUAACUGCAUAGGAAGCACCGGCUAACUCCGUGCCAGCAGCCGCGGUCAUACGGAGGGUGCGAGCGUUAUCCGGAAUUAUUGGGCGUAAAGCGAUAGUAGGCGGUAGGUUAAGUCAAGGGUGAAAUCCCCGGGCUCAACGUGGGAACUGCCUUUGAAACUGGCGAACUGGAGUGUGGGAGAGGAGAGUGGAAUUCCAUGUGUAGGAGUGAAAUGCGUAGAUAUCUGGAAGAACAUCAGUGGCGAAGGCGACUAUCUGGCACAUAACUGACGCUGAGGAGCGAAAGCGUGGGUAGCAAACAGGAUUAGAUACCCCUGUAGUC